GAUUCGUUGCCAUUUGAUGAGCCCAUAUGAGAUUAGCUAGUUGGUGUGGUAAUGGCUCACCAAGGCGACGAUCUCUAGCUGGUUUGAGAGGAUGACCAGCCACACUGGGACUGAGACACGGCCCAGACUCCUACGGGAGGCAGCAGUGGGGAAUAUUGCACAAUGGGGGGAACCCUGAUGCAGCCAUGCCGCGUGUAUGAAGAAGGCCUUAGGGUUGUAAAGUACUUUCGUGGAGGAGGAAGGGUUUACGUAAUCGUGGACAUUGACGUUACUCCAAGAAGAAGCACCGGCUAACUCCGUGCCAGCAGCCGCGGUAAUACGGAGGGUGCGAGCGUUAAUCGGAAUGACUGGGCGUAAAGGGCAUGUAGGCGGAUGAUUAAGUUAGAUGUGAAAUCCCUGGGCUUAACCUAGGAAUUGCAUUUAAAACUGGUUAUCUAGAGUACUGUAGAGGGAGGUAGAAUUCCAUGUGUAGCGGUGAAAUGCGUAG
Molecule: ribosomal RNA, 487 nt
Filed under: uncultured Enterobacteriaceae bacterium
Lineage: Bacteria; Pseudomonadati; Pseudomonadota; Gammaproteobacteria; Enterobacterales; Enterobacteriaceae
Description: bacterial SSU rRNA
Rfam family: Bacterial small subunit ribosomal RNA
Source: RNAcentral